This 75-nucleotide transfer RNA is filed under the name bacterium. RNAcentral describes it as "tRNA-Arg". It matches the Rfam family "tRNA". From Rfam's summary of the family: Transfer RNA (tRNA) molecules are approximately 80 nucleotides in length. Their secondary structure includes four short double-helical elements and three loops (D, anti-codon, and T loops). The record is from RNAcentral.
GUCCCUAUAGUUCAAUGGAUAGAAUAAAAACCUCCUAAGUUUUAGAUUCAGGUUCGACUCCUGAUGGGGACACCA